UUCCAGACUCCUACGGGAGGCAGCAGUGGGGAAUAUUGCACAAUGGGGGAAACCCUGAUGCAGCGACGCCGCGUGAGUGAAGAAGUAUUUCGGUAUGUAAAGCUCUAUCAGCAGGGAAGAAAAUGACGGUACCUGACUAAGAAGCCCCGGCUAACUACGUGCCAGCAGCCGCGGUAAUACGUAGGGGGCAAGCGUUAUCCGGAUUUACUGGGUGUAAAGGGAGCGUAGACGGUAGAGCAAGUCUGAAGUGAAAGCCCGCGGCUCAACUGCGGGACUGCUUUGGAAACUGUUCAACUGGAGUGCUGGAGAGGUAAGCGGAAUUCCUAGUGUAGCGGUGAAAUGCGUAGAUAUUAGGAGGAACACCAGUGGCGAAGGCGGCCUACUGGACGGUGACUGACGCUGAGGCUCGAAAGCGUGGGGAGCAAACAGGAUUAGAUACCCGAGUAA
RNAcentral lists this ribosomal RNA (447 nucleotides) under uncultured bacterium. RNAcentral describes it as "bacterial SSU rRNA". It matches the Rfam family "Bacterial small subunit ribosomal RNA", at positions 329 to 793 of the family's 1533-position model. The record is from RNAcentral.